GACGAACGCUGGCGGCGUGCUUAACACAUGCAAGUCGAACGGAAAGGCCCUGCUUUUGUGGGGUGCUCGAGUGGCGAACGGGUGAGUAACACGUGAGUAACCUGCCCUUGACUUUGGGAUAACUUCAGGAAACUGGGGCUAAUACCGGAUAGGAGCUCCUGCUGCAUGGUGGGGGUUGGAAAGUUUCGGCGGUUGGGGAUGGACUCGCGGCUUAUCAGCUUGUUGGUGGGGUAGUGGCUUACCAAGGCUUUGACGGGUAGCCGGCCUGAGAGGGUGACCGGCAAAAUGGGGAAGGGGAAACGGCCCAAGCUCCUAGGGGAGGCAGGGGGGGGGAAAAUGACACAAGGGGCGGAAGCCGGAUGCAGCAACGCGGGGGGGGGGAAGACGGCCUUAGGGUUGGAAACCGCUUUGGCCUGGAACGAAGGGGGGGGGACGGAAAUGGGGAAAGAAGCACCGGCAAACUACGU
Molecule: ribosomal RNA, 467 nt
Filed under: uncultured bacterium
Lineage: Bacteria
Description: partial 16S ribosomal RNA
Rfam family: Bacterial small subunit ribosomal RNA
Source: RNAcentral